GUGGAUGUAGCUCAGUGGUAGAGCCCCGGAUUGUGGUUCCGGAUGUCGAGGGUUCAAAUCCCUUCAUCCACCCCA
This 75-nucleotide transfer RNA is filed under the name Gammaproteobacteria bacterium. Its description in RNAcentral is "tRNA-His". It matches the Rfam family "tRNA". From Rfam's summary of the family: Transfer RNA (tRNA) molecules are approximately 80 nucleotides in length. Their secondary structure includes four short double-helical elements and three loops (D, anti-codon, and T loops). The record is from RNAcentral. Lineage: Bacteria; Pseudomonadati; Pseudomonadota; Gammaproteobacteria.